RNAcentral lists this transfer-messenger RNA (364 nucleotides) under Eunotogramma sp. RNAcentral's name for it is "SsrA". It matches the Rfam family "transfer-messenger RNA". Rfam says of the family: Bacterial tmRNA, also known as 10Sa RNA or SsrA, is named for its dual tRNA and mRNA-like properties. Its role is to liberate the mRNA from a stalled ribosome. To accomplish this part of the tmRNA is used as a reading frame that ends in a translation stop signal. The record is from RNAcentral. Lineage: Eukaryota; Bacillariophyta; Thalassiosirophyceae; Anaulales; Anaulaceae.
GGGGCUGAUUCGGUUUCGACAUUUACAAAUUAUUAUAAUAUGGCAGGUCGAAGUACGUAUACUUCGUAAAAAAAUACAAAUUUUAAAUAAAUGCUAAUAAUUUAAUUUCUUUUGCGUUUAAUGUAGUCAAAAAUAAACUUACUUUUAAUAAUCGACAAACUUAUUCAAAUAGAUUAAGUUUCGCCGUUUAAUAUUAGGCAUGUUUUACUAAAUAUAUUUUUUCACUAUAACUAGACUUUUUUGUUUUUUAUAGUUUAGAAUAAUUUUGAAUCUUAAUUUAUUGUUCAAACCCUUUGAACUAAACCUGUGAAUGACUAUAAUGGUAAUUUUUAGAUGGACGUGGGUUCAAUUCCCAUCAGCUCCA